RNAcentral lists this unclassified non-coding RNA (229 nucleotides) under Glomus sp. RNAcentral's name for it is "partial contains 5.8S ribosomal RNA and internal transcribed spacer 2". The stretch from base 1 to 71 matches the Rfam family "5.8S ribosomal RNA", at positions 84 to 154 of the family's 154-position model. The record is from RNAcentral. Lineage: Eukaryota; Fungi; Glomeromycota; Glomeromycetes; Glomerales; Glomeraceae.
GUGAAUCAUCGAAUCUUUGAACGCAAAUUGCACUCUCUGGUAUUCCGGUGAGUAUGCCUGUUUGAGGGUCUGUUUAAAUAAAAAUCGGUGUGUUUGCUGCCUUUCGUGGUGACGCACCGGAUUUGGGUCGUCUUGUCUUCGGUUAAGUGACUUAAAUUUUCGCAUGAUUUUUUCGACCGUACUUAAAUGAUUUUCUGUACGUUUGUGAUAUCGCAUACUAUGCGUGGCG